CAGAGAGUAGUUAAACUAGAAUCUUAGCUUUGGGAGUUAAGGGUGGAAGUUAAAAUCUUUCUUCUCUGA
Molecule: transfer RNA, 69 nt
Filed under: Pantodon buchholzi (freshwater butterflyfish)
Lineage: Eukaryota; Metazoa; Chordata; Actinopteri; Osteoglossiformes; Pantodontidae
Description: tRNA-Pro
Rfam family: tRNA
About the family: Transfer RNA (tRNA) molecules are approximately 80 nucleotides in length. Their secondary structure includes four short double-helical elements and three loops (D, anti-codon, and T loops).
Source: RNAcentral